AUUAAUGUUAGGUAAAUACUGCUCUAUGAAGAUAUUUUAAUGGCCGCAGUAAACUGACUGUGCUAAGGUAGCAUAAUAAAUUGGCCUUUAAUUGGGGUCUGGUAUGAACGGAUAUAUAUGUAAUAACUGUCUUAUUAGAAUUUUUUUUAAUUUUCUUAGUAGGUGAAAAUUCCUAUAAGCAAUUCUGAAGGACGAUAAGACCCUUAGAAUUAUUAAAAUGUUGAUAUUCUCAUUAUAUCAUUCUUUUUUGUUGGGGCGACAUAUUAUCAUAGAACAUAAUUCAUUAAAUCUAUUUACAAGACUAAUUUAUUUAGUAAGACUUAAUUACCUGAGGGAUAACAGCAUAAUAUUUAUAUAUGUUUAUGACCUCGAUGUUGGACUAGGUUACUUAAUAACUAACAGUUAUUAAUUUAUGUUCUGUUCGAACAAUUACA
RNAcentral lists this ribosomal RNA (434 nucleotides) under Anguispira cumberlandiana. RNAcentral's name for it is "partial large subunit ribosomal RNA". The record is from RNAcentral. Lineage: Eukaryota; Metazoa; Mollusca; Gastropoda; Stylommatophora; Discidae.